UACGGAGGAUGCAAGCGUUAUCCGGAUUCAUUGGGUUUAAAGGGUGCGUAGGCGGGCUAUUAAGUCAGUGGUGAAAUCCUGCAGCUUAACUGCAGAACUGCCGUUGAUACUGAUAGUCUUGAGUUUGGUUAAGGUAGGCGGAAUGUGCAGUGUAGCGGUGAAAUGCAUAGAUAUUGCACGGAACUCCGAUUGCGCAGGCAGCUUACUAAACUACUACUGACGCUCAGGCACGAAGGCGUGGGGAUCAAACA
Molecule: ribosomal RNA, 251 nt
Filed under: uncultured prokaryote
Description: partial 16S ribosomal RNA
Rfam family: Bacterial small subunit ribosomal RNA
Source: RNAcentral